Molecule: non-coding RNA, 86 nt
Organism: Nemania sp. FL0031
Lineage: Eukaryota; Fungi; Ascomycota; Sordariomycetes; Xylariales; Xylariaceae
Source: the annotation of a GenBank genome assembly
CAGGCGGUGGUCUAGGGGUUUGGAUUCAUCGCGCGGUUCCACAGCUGCGUCCGAUAAGGUCGGGGGAUCGAAUCCCUCCCACUGGA